This 252-nucleotide long non-coding RNA is filed under the name Gallus gallus (chicken). Lineage: Eukaryota; Metazoa; Chordata; Aves; Galliformes; Phasianidae. The record is from RNAcentral.
AUUCAUUAAGAGCUGCUAAAUAGAGAAAUAGAUAAGAAAAUCCUGAGCUACAUCUUCUUGUGCAUUGGAUGAAGACACUAAUACAACAUUAUUAUGAGGAAGUAGUGUGACGCAAAUAGGUCAGGACGGAUUUCUUCUGUUCUUUAUGUGAUUGCGAAAGAAUAGUGGUAUGAACACAAGUCUGCCAUACUAAAGAUGAGUCCAGGUAUAAAAGGACAAAGACGUAUCUUCACAACCAAGGUCUAGCAAGAC